RNAcentral lists this ribosomal RNA (253 nucleotides) under uncultured bacterium. RNAcentral describes it as "partial 16S ribosomal RNA". It matches the Rfam family "Bacterial small subunit ribosomal RNA", at positions 524 to 776 of the family's 1533-position model. The record is from RNAcentral.
GACGUAGGGGGCAAGCGUUGUCCGGAAUUAUUGGGCGUAAAGCGCUCGUAGGCGGAUCGGUAAGUCUGUGAAGAAAGACCCGGGCUCAACUCGGGGAACGGCAUAGAUACUGCUGAUCUUGAGACAGUCAGAGGAUGAUGGAAUUCCAGGUGUAGCGGUGAAGUGCGUAGAUAUCUGGAGGAACACCAGUGGCGAAGGCGAUCAUCUGGGGCUGUUCUGACGCUGAGGAGCGAAAGCUAGGGGAGCAAACGGG